AUUGAACGCUGGCGGCAGGCCUAACACAUGCAAGUCGAACGGUAACAGGAAGAAGCUUGCUUCUUUGCUGACGAGUGGCGGACGGGUGAGUAAUGUCUGGGAAACUGCCUGAUGGAGGGGGAUAACUACUGGAAACGGUAGCUAAUACCGCAUAACGUCGCAAGACCAAAAAGGGGGACCUUCGGGCCUCUUGCCAUCGGAUGUGCCCAGAUGGGAUUAGCUAGUAGGUGGGGUAACGGCUCACCUAGGCGACGAUCCCUAGCUGGUCUGAGAGGAUGACCGCCCACACUGGAAAUGAGACACGGUCCAGACCCCUACGGGGGGCAGCAGGGGGGAAUAUUGCACAGUGGGGGAAAGCCUGAUGCAGCCAUGCCGGGUGUAUGAAGAAGGCCUUCGGGUUGUAAAGUACUUUCGGGGGGGAGGAAGGGAGUAAAGUUAAUCCCUUUGCUAAUUGACGUUCCCCGCAGAAGAAGCCCCGGCUAACUCCG
RNAcentral lists this ribosomal RNA (488 nucleotides) under uncultured bacterium. Its description in RNAcentral is "partial 16S ribosomal RNA". It matches the Rfam family "Bacterial small subunit ribosomal RNA", at positions 30 to 505 of the family's 1533-position model. The record is from RNAcentral.